GUGCCAGCAGCCGCGGUAAUACGGAGGGUCGCAAGCGUUAAUCGGAAUUACUGGGCGUAAAGCGCACGCAGGCGGUUUCUUAAGUCAGAUGUGAAAUCCCCGGGCUCAACCUGGGAACUGCAUCUGAUACUGCCAAGUCUUGAGUCUCGUAGAGGGGGGUAGAAUUCCAGGUGUAGCGGUGAAAUGCGUAGAGAUCUGGAGGACAUACCGGUGGCGAAGGCGGCCCCCUGGACGAAGACUGACGCUCAGGUGCGAAAGCUGUGGGGAGCAACCGAGGAUUAGAUCCCCUGGUAGUCC
Molecule: ribosomal RNA, 297 nt
Filed under: uncultured microorganism
Description: partial 16S ribosomal RNA
Rfam family: Bacterial small subunit ribosomal RNA
Source: RNAcentral